This 2795-nucleotide ribosomal RNA is filed under the name Enterococcus faecalis. Its description in RNAcentral is "bacterial LSU rRNA". It matches the Rfam family "Bacterial large subunit ribosomal RNA". Lineage: Bacteria; Bacillati; Bacillota; Bacilli; Lactobacillales; Enterococcaceae. The record is from RNAcentral.
AGGGCGCACGGUGGAUGCCUUGGCACUAGGAGCCGAUGAAGGACGGGACUAACACCGAUAUGCUUUGGGGAGCUGUAAGUAAGCUAUGAUCCAGAGAUUUCCGAAUGGGGGAACCCAAUAUCUUUUAUAAGAUAUUACUUUUCAGUGAAUACAUAGCUGAUUAGAGGUAGACGCAGAGAACUGAAACAUCUUAGUACCUGCAGGAAGAGAAAGAAAAUUCGAUUCCCUGAGUAGCGGCGAGCGAAACGGGAAGAGCCCAAACCAACAAGCUUGCUUGUUGGGGUUGUAGGACUCCGAUAUGGUAGUCUGUUAGUAUAGUUGAAGGAUUUGGAAAAUUCCGCUAAAGAGGGUGAAAGCCCCGUAGACGAAAUGCUGACAACACCUAGGAGGAUCCUGAGUACGGCGGAACACGAGAAAUUCCGUCGGAAUCCGCGGGGACCAUCCCGCAAGGCUAAAUACUCCCUAGUGACCGAUAGUGAACCAGUACCGUGAGGGAAAGGUGAAAAGCACCCCGGAAGGGGAGUGAAAUAGAUCCUGAAACCGUGUGCCUACAACAAGUCAAAGCUCGUUAAUGAGUGAUGGCGUGCCUUUUGUAGAAUGAACCGGCGAGUUACGAUUGCAUGCGAGGUUAAGUCGAAGAGACGGAGCCGCAGCGAAAGCGAGUCUGAAUAGGGCGAAUGAGUAUGUAGUCGUAGACCCGAAACCAUGUGAUCUACCCAUGUCCAGGUUGAAGGUGCGGUAAAACGCACUGGAGGACCGAACCCACGUACGUUGAAAAGUGCGGGGAUGAGGUGUGGGUAGCGGAGAAAUUCCAAACGAACUUGGAGAUAGCUGGUUCUCUCCGAAAUAGCUUUAGGGCUAGCCUCGGAAUUGAGAAUGAUGGAGGUAGAGCACUGUUUGGACUAGGGGCCCAUCUCGGGUUACCGAAUUCAGAUAAACUCCGAAUGCCAUUCAUUUAUAUCCGGGAGUCAGACUGCGAGUGAUAAGAUCCGUAGUCGAAAGGGAAACAGCCCAGACCACCAGCUAAGGUCCCAAAAUAUAUGUUAAGUGGAAAAGGAUGUGGGGUUGCACAGACAACUAGGAUGUUGGCUUAGAAGCAGCCACCAUUUAAAGAGUGCGUAAUAGCUCACUAGUCGAGUGACCCUGCGCCGAAAAUGUACCGGGGCUAAACAUAUUACCGAAGCUGUGGACUACACCAUUAGGUGUAGUGGUAGGAGAGCGUUCUAAGGGCGUUGAAGGUCGAUCGUGAGGACGGCUGGAGCGCUUAGAAGUGAGAAUGCCGGUAUGAGUAGCGAAAGACAGGUGAGAAUCCUGUCCACCGUAUGACUAAGGUUUCCUGGGGAAGGCUCGUCCGCCCAGGGUUAGUCGGGACCUAAGCCGAGGCCGAUAGGCGUAGGCGAUGGACAACAGGUUGAUAUUCCUGUACCAGUUGUUUUUGUUUGAGCAAUGGAGGGACGCAGUAGGCUAAGGAAUGCAUGCGAUUGGAAGUGCAUGUCCAAGCAAUGAGUCUUGAGUAGAGUUAAAUGCUUUACUCUCUAAGGACAAGUUGUGACGGGGAGCGAAAUAAUAGUAGCGAAGUUCCUGAUGUCACACUGCCAAGAAAAGCUUCUAGUGAGAAAACAACUGCCCGUACCGUAAACCGACACAGGUAGUCGAGGAGAGUAUCCUAAGGUGAGCGAGCGAACUCUCGUUAAGGAACUCGGCAAAAUGACCCCGUAACUUCGGGAGAAGGGGUGCUGACUUCGGUCAGCCGCAGUGAAUAGGCCCAAGCGACUGUUUAUCAAAAACACAGGUCUCUGCAAAAUCGUAAGAUGAAGUAUAGGGGCUGACGCCUGCCCGGUGCUGGAAGGUUAAGAGGAUGGGUUAGCUUCGGCGAAGCUCAGAAUUGAAGCCCCAGUAAACGGCGGCCGUAACUAUAACGGUCCUAAGGUAGCGAAAUUCCUUGUCGGGUAAGUUCCGACCCGCACGAAAGGCGUAACGAUUUGGGCACUGUCUCAACGAGAGACUCGGUGAAAUUUUAGUACCUGUGAAGAUGCAGGUUACCCGCGACAGGACGGAAAGACCCCAUGGAGCUUUACUGUAGUUUGAUAUUGAGUGUUUGUACCACAUGUACAGGAUAGGUAGGAGCCGAUGAGACCGGAACGCUAGUUUCGGAGGAGGCGCUGGUGGGAUACUACCCUUGUGUUAUGAACCCUCUAACCCGCACCACUAAUCGUGGUGGGAGACAGUGUCAGAUGGGCAGUUUGACUGGGGCGGUCGCCUCCUAAAAGGUAACGGAGGCGCCCAAAGGUUCCCUCAGAAUGGUUGGAAAUCAUUCGAAGAGUGUAAAGGCAGAAGGGAGCUUGACUGCGAGACCUACAAGUCGAGCAGGGACGAAAGUCGGGCUUAGUGAUCCGGUGGUUCCGCAUGGAAGGGCCAUCGCUCAACGGAUAAAAGCUACCCUGGGGAUAACAGGCUUAUCUCCCCCAAGAGUCCACAUCGACGGGGAGGUUUGGCACCUCGAUGUCGGCUCGUCGCAUCCUGGGGCUGUAGUCGGUCCCAAGGGUUGGGCUGUUCGCCCAUUAAAGCGGCACGCGAGCUGGGUUCAGAACGUCGUGAGACAGUUCGGUCCCUAUCCGUCGCGGGCGUUGGAAAUUUGAGAGGAGCUGUCCUUAGUACGAGAGGACCGGGAUGGACUUACCGCUGGUGUACCAGUUGUUCUGCCAAGGGCAUUGCUGGGUAGCUAUGUAGGGAAGGGAUAAACGCUGAAAGCAUCUAAGUGUGAAGCCCACCUCAAGAUGAGAUUUCCCAUUUCU